This 148-nucleotide small RNA is filed under the name Macaca fascicularis (crab-eating macaque). RNAcentral describes it as "Metazoan signal recognition particle RNA (ENSMFAG00000056250.1)". Lineage: Eukaryota; Metazoa; Chordata; Mammalia; Primates; Cercopithecidae. The record is from Rfam by way of RNAcentral.
GCCAGGUGUGGUGGCGUGUGCCUGUAAUCCCAGCUACUCGGGAGGCUGAGGCAGGAGAAUCGCUUGAACCUGGGAGGUAGAGGUUGCAGUGAGCCGACAUUGCGCCACUGCACUCCAGCCUGGGUGACAGAGUGAGAUCCUGUCUCAG